AUAGCACCUGGUGAGAUCUUGUAGGUGUUUGAGACGGUGUCAAGUCAAGGCUAGAGGAUUUGCAGUAGACAAGCUUCUAUACAGUCUCUGGAUGUACAGAUCUGGGCACGAGUUGAGCAUCUUGGUUCAGUGACUGUUGGAGAACACUAUCUUGGAGUCCAGGGUGAGUUGUUGAUGCCUUCCCAAUACCGGAUUCCUCUAUAUCCUUAUUUUUGUCUUCCUUAUUUCAGACUGUGUUGUAUUAGCUUUUAAGACUUGUAAUCGUAUUCUAAAAAGCUAUUGUACUUGUGACUUCCAAGUUUUAGGGGCAUGUUGUCUCUAAUUUAUUUUUAGCAAGUUAUUAAGACUAUUUUAGUACUUUGGGAGUUCCUUUAAUUUCCUCAUUAACUUA
Molecule: long non-coding RNA, 391 nt
Organism: Lycium ferocissimum
Lineage: Eukaryota; Viridiplantae; Streptophyta; Magnoliopsida; Solanales; Solanaceae
Exons: 2
Source: RefSeq, a predicted model, not a curated record